ACACGUGGCCAACCUAACCUUAGGACGGAGACAACCCCGGGAAACUGGGGACAAUCCCCGAUAGGUGAGAGACGCCUGAGAAUGACCCCUCACCCAAAAGACGUUGGAACCAUGCUUUUCAGCGUUGCCUAAGGACGGGGCCGCGGCCGAUCAGGCUGUUGGCGAGGCAAAGGCUCACCAAACCUACAACCGGUACGGGCCAUGAGAGUGGGAGCCCGGAGAUGGGCACUGAGACAAGGGCCCAGGCCCUACGGGGCGCAGCAGUUGCGAAAACUCCACAAUGCACGAAAGUGCGAUGGGGCUAACCCGAGUGCCGUCCGCUGAGGACGGCUUUUCUCCGCUGUAAGGAGGCGGAGGAAGAGGGAGAGGGCAAGACUGGUGUCAGCCGCCGCGGCAAUACCAGCUCUCCGAGUGGUAGGGACAAUUAUUGGGCUUAAAGCGUUCGUAGCCGGCCUGAAAAGUCUCUCGUCAAAUCCAGCGACCCAAUCGCUGGGCUGCGGGAGAUACUGUCAGGCUUGGGAGCGGGAGAGGCCGACGGUAUCUCGGGGUAGGGGUGAAAUCCUAUAAUCCCGGGAGGACCACCAGUGGCGAAGGCUGUCGGCUAGAACGCGUCCGACGGUGAGGGACGAAAGCUGGGGGAGCGAACCGGAUUAGAUACCCGGGUAGUCCCAGCUGUAAACGAUGCGGGCUAGGUGUCGGUGUGGCUACGAGCCACUCCGGUGCCGCAGGGAAGCUCAUAAGCCCGCCGCCUGGGAAGUACGGUCGCAAGGCUGAAACUUAAAGGAAUUGGCGGGGGAGCACCACCAGGGGUGAAGCUUGCGGUUCACUUGGAGUCAACGCCGGGAACCUUACCGGGGGAGACAGCAGGUUGAAGGCCAGAUUGAAGGUCUUGCCAGACGAGCUGAGAGGAGGUGCAUGGCCGUCGCCAGUUCGUGCCGUGAGGUGUCCUGUUAAGUCAGGCAACGAUCGAGACCCGCACCCCCUGUUGCUACCGCUCAUUCGUAAGGAUGGUGGGCACACUGGGGGAACCGCCGCCGACAAGGCGGAGGAAGGUGCGGGCUACGGCAGGUCGGUAUGCCCCGAAACCCUCGGGCCACACGCGAGCUGCAAUGGCAGGGACAAUGGGCUUCGACCCCGAGAGGGGGAGGUAAUCCCUAAACCCUGUCGUAGUUGGGAUCGAGGGCUGCAACCCGCCCUCGUGAAUCAUGG
This 1209-nucleotide ribosomal RNA is filed under the name uncultured crenarchaeote. RNAcentral describes it as "bacterial SSU rRNA". It matches the Rfam family "Archaeal small subunit ribosomal RNA", at positions 96 to 1286 of the family's 1478-position model. The record is from RNAcentral. Lineage: Archaea; Thermoproteati; Thermoproteota.